This 572-nucleotide ribosomal RNA is filed under the name Sphingobacteriaceae bacterium. RNAcentral's name for it is "partial 23S ribosomal RNA". It matches the Rfam family "Bacterial large subunit ribosomal RNA", at positions 19 to 571 of the family's 2925-position model. Lineage: Bacteria; Pseudomonadati; Bacteroidota; Sphingobacteriia; Sphingobacteriales; Sphingobacteriaceae. The record is from RNAcentral.
GUCGGGUGGAUGCCUUGGCAGAACAGUAAGAGGACGUGAGCGGCUACGAAAAGCUGCGGGGAGGAGCAUCUAACCCUGAGAUCCGCAGAUUUCCUUCUCGGGAAAGCAACAAAUAGAUUGUCUAUUCUGCUCCUAUUUUGUUUACAAAGCGGGGUCAAAAUAGACAACCUAUAAUCUACCACUUAGUGAAUUGAAACAUCUACGUAACUAAAGGAAAAGAAAUCAACCGAGAUUCCGUAAGUAGUGGUGAGCGAAAGCGGAUAAGGCCUUUUCUUACCUUUUGCCCGUUUUUUAAAGAAAAAACAUCACAAAAUAGAGAUUAUGUGAAAAGCGUUGAACCCCCCUGGAAAGGGAAGCCAAAGAGGGUGAUAGCCCCGUAAGCGCCUCACGUGGCAAAAGGCAAGAAAAAUUGAGAGUAGGGCGGAACACUGAUUUUGCCUGAACAUAGGGGGACCACCCUCUAAGCCUAAAAAAGCUGUUCUGACCGAUAGUGAACAAGUACCGUGAGGGAAAGGUGAAAUAGAACCCCAACUGGGGAUUGAAAGAGAAACUGAAACCUGACAACUACAAAC